UCGACGAGUUUGAUCAUGGCUCAGGAUGAACGCUAGCGGCAGGCCUAAUACAUGCAAGUCAAGGGGGAUAGCAAUAUCACCGGCGGACGGGUGCGUAACGCGUACACAACGUGCCCAAGGGCGGAGGAAAGCGGCGGGAAACUGCCGGUAAUACUCCAUGGUGUUGUUGAGUGGCAUCACUUAACAACUAAAGUACAAGCGCCCUUGGAUCGGUGUGCGUUCGAUUAGCUAGUUGGCGGGGUAACGGCCCACCAAGGCUUCGAUCGAUAGGGGGUGUGAGAGCAUGACCCCCCACACGGGUACUGAGACACGGACCCGACUCCUACGGGAGGCAGCAGUAAGGAAUAUUGGACAAUGGGCGGAAGCCUGAUCCAGCCAUGCCGCGUGAAGGACGAAGGCGCUCAGCGUUGUAAACUUCUUUUGGAUGGGAACAAUAACUCCGACUUGUCGGAACUUGAGGGUACCAUCAGAAUAAGCACCGGCUAACUCCGUG
RNAcentral lists this ribosomal RNA (493 nucleotides) under uncultured bacterium. RNAcentral describes it as "bacterial SSU rRNA". It matches the Rfam family "Bacterial small subunit ribosomal RNA", at positions 1 to 507 of the family's 1533-position model. The record is from RNAcentral.